AUCCUGCCAGUAGUGAUAUGCUUGUCUCAAAGACUAAGCCAUGCAUGUUCAGUCCAAACAGAAGUAAAGUGAAACCGCGAAUGGCUCAUUAAAUCAGUUAUGGUUCCUUUGAAGGAUGUUUUACUUGGAUAACUGUGGCAAUUCUAGAGCUAAUACAUGCAACUCAUGUCCUUUCCGGAGACGGAUCGGACGCUUUUAUUAGAUCAAAACCAAUCGCGCCCUUGAGUGGGCUUGCUCUCUUUUGGUGACUCUGGAUAAAACCACGCCGAUCGUACGGCCCUCGAGCCGGCGACGCUUCUUUCAAAUGUCUGCCUUAUCAACUGUCGAUGGUAGGUUCUGCGCCUACCAUGGUUGUAACGGGUAACGGAGAAUCAGGGUUCGAUUCCGGAGAGGGAGCCUGAGAAACGGCUACCACAUCCAAGGAAGGCAGCAGGCGCGCAAAUUACCCACUCCCAGAUAGGGGAGGUAGUGACGAAAAAUAACGAUACGGGACUCAUCCGAGGCCCCGUAAUCGGAAUGAUAACACUUUAAAUCCUUUACAGAUUAACUAUUGGAGGGCAAGUCUGGUGCCAGCAGCCGCGGUAAUUCCAGCUCCAAUAGCGUAUAUUAAAGUUGUUGCGGUUAAAAAGCUCGUAGUCGGACUUGUGCCCCGAUCUGCCGGUUCACAGCCCGUCUGUGUCUAACUGGCAUGCAUCCGUGGGCGUAUUGCCGGUGGCCCAAGUCGUUUCCCGGUGUCCUUUGAUGAGCGUGGGUCGCCACGACUUCACUUGCCCGGGAAUCACCGAGGCGGGCCUGUCCACCCCUUUGCGGUGCUCUUAACCGAGUGUCUCGAAGGGCCGGCACGUUUACUUUGAACAAAUUAGAGUGCUUCAAGCAGGCAACGACCGCCUGAAUACCAGUGCAUGGAAUAAUGGAAUAGGACCUCGGUUCUAUUUUGUUGGUUUUCGGAAUCCCCGAGGUAAUGAUCAAUAGGGACAGACGGGGGCAUUCGUAUUGCGACGUUAGAGGUGAAAUUCUUGGAUCGUCGCAAGACGGACCGAAGCGAAAGCAUUUGCCAAGCAUGCUUUCUUUGAUCAAGAACGAAAGUUAGAGGUUCGAAGGCGAUCAGAUACCGCCCUAGUUCUAACCAUAAACGAUGCCAGCCGGAAUUCCGCCGAAGUUCCUCCGAUGACUCGGCGGGUGUCCUACGGGAAACCAAAGCGAUCGGGUUCCGGGGGAAGUAUGGUUGCAAAGCUGAAACUUAAAGGAAUUGACGGAAGGGCACCACCAGAAAUGGAGCCUGCGGUUUAAUUUGACUCAACACGGGAAAACUUACCGGGCCCGGACUCUGGAAGGAUUGACAGAUUUAGAGCUCUUUCUUGAUUCAGAGGGUGGUGGUGCAUGGCCGUUCUUAGUUGGUGGACUGAUUUGUCAGGUUAAUUCCGAUAACGAACGAGAUUCUAGCCUACUAACUAGUCGUUCCCGGCUUCCUUUGUGCAGCUGGCGAGUAAUGAUCUUCUUAGAGGGACAGGCGGCGUCCAGCCGCAUGAGAUUGAGCAAUAACAGGUCUGUGAUGCCCUUAGAUGUUCCGGGCCGCACGCGCGCUACACUGAAGGAAUCAACACGUCCUCCCAGGCCGAGUGGUCCGGGUAACCUAUUGAACCUCCUUCGUGCUAGGGAUCGGGGAUUGCAAUUAUUCCCUGUGAACGAGGAACUCCCAGUAAGCGCGGGUCAUCAGCCCGCGUUGAUUACGUCCCUGCCCUUUGUCCACACCGCCCGUCGCUACUACCGAUUGAAUGAAUUAGUGAGGUCUUCGGACCGGCGGGUCUGGGCUCUGAGCUCACUUCUCGCAGGGAAGAUGAUCGAACUUGCUCAUUUAGAGGAAGUAAAAGUCGUAACAAGGUUGCCGUAGGUGAACCUGCGGCAGGACCAUUA
RNAcentral lists this ribosomal RNA (1914 nucleotides) under Amazonina sp. RNAcentral describes it as "SSU rRNA". It matches the Rfam family "Eukaryotic small subunit ribosomal RNA". The record is from RNAcentral. Lineage: Eukaryota; Metazoa; Arthropoda; Insecta; Blattodea; Pseudophyllodromiidae.